RNAcentral lists this transfer RNA (72 nucleotides) under Acidimicrobiales bacterium. Its description in RNAcentral is "tRNA-Arg". It matches the Rfam family "tRNA". Rfam says of the family: Transfer RNA (tRNA) molecules are approximately 80 nucleotides in length. Their secondary structure includes four short double-helical elements and three loops (D, anti-codon, and T loops). Further hydrogen bonds mediate the characteristic L-shaped molecular structure. tRNAs have two regions of fundamental functional importance: the anti-codon, which is responsible for specific mRNA codon recognition, and the 3' end, to which the tRNAs corresponding amino acid is attached (by aminoacyl-tRNA synthetases). tRNAs cope with the degeneracy of the genetic code in two manners: having more than one tRNA (with a specific anti-codon) for a particular amino acid; and 'wobble' base-pairing, i.e. permitting non-standard base-pairing at the 3rd anti-codon position. Lineage: Bacteria; Bacillati; Actinomycetota; Acidimicrobiia; Acidimicrobiales. RNAcentral also lists the same sequence under 1 other name. The record is from RNAcentral.
GCCCUCGUAGCUCAGUGGAUAGAGCGCCGGCCUCCGGAGCCGGGCGCGUGGGUUCGAAUCCCGCCGAGGGCG